CAGGGGGCGAGCGUCGUCCGGAAUCACUGGGCGUAAAGGGCACGCAGGCUGUGAUUCAAGUCAGCUGUAAAAGGAUGCGGCUUAACCGUGUUUAGCAGUUGAAACUGGAUGACUGGAGUGCUGGAGAGGCAAGUGGAAUCCCCAGUGUAGCGGUGAAAUGCGUAGAUAUUGGGAAGAACAUCGGUGGCGAAGGCGACUUGCUGGCCAGUAACUGACGCUGAGGUGCGAAAGCCAGGGUAGCAAACGGGAUUAGAUACCCCGGUAGUCCUGGCUGUAAACGAUGAAUGCUAGGUGUGCGAGCAGAGAUGUUGGUGUGCCGCAGUUAACGCGAUAAGCAUUCCGCCUGGGGAGUACGGUCGCAAGAUUGAAACUCAAAGGAAUUGACGGGGGCCCGCACAAG
RNAcentral lists this ribosomal RNA (400 nucleotides) under uncultured bacterium. RNAcentral describes it as "bacterial SSU rRNA". It matches the Rfam family "Bacterial small subunit ribosomal RNA", at positions 528 to 929 of the family's 1533-position model. The record is from RNAcentral.